UUUCUUCUUCCAAAAUCAAGGUGGAUGGUUCUGGGCACAUGGCUGGUGCUUUUUAGGUACUUGUUGAUCUGCCCGUUGGGGUAACUCCUGUUUCACCUUCUAUGGGAAGGAAGGGAAUAUCCCGUGGGAGUUUGUUUUUUUUCCUUGACUAUUCUCAUCCUUGUGAUUGCAUUCUGGCUGGGCAGUUAGAAAGGAGGGGGUCAGAUGGGCCACUUCCCCAUCCCUAGGGUCAAGCUUCACUCUCUCUCAGCUCCCUCUCGGAACUAAGACCUGAGCAAAGGGGUCAGUCUGUACAGUGCAGCCACCCUGACUGACUGUUAGAGAAAUAAACAAGAUGUUAUUGUGCCGAGGGGAGAAGAGUUACAUCAAAAGUAUCUCAGAGAGGAAGAAAGCCAAAUUUCUUUUUAUAUGAGAUGCAUGGAUAGGGGGAGAGAGAGAGAAAAAAAUGCCUGGGUAAUUAACUUAAUAGGUUUCUUAAAGAAUGCCCUUGUGAGUGAUGUUCAACACAUUCAAGUGUUGACAAGAAGGCAUUGAACUUGACGCCCACGCAGCGGGCAGAAGCAUGCUCUCGGCUCCAACACACCUUCUUUGUCUGAAACUUGUGGUAAGACUCAGUGCUGGGUUGUGAAAUCUGUCCCAGGGAAUCCGUGCUGCAGGAGCUCCAAGGUCAAGCCCCGUGCUUCUGGAUAGGGUUGGGGCUGGCAAGGGUGACCACUCGGAACUAAGAUCCCACGAGUAGGAGAGCAGAGGAAGAGGCCCUCAAGUCAGACACCUAGAGAUGCUGCCAUGCCUGGGAGAGACCCGUGAGCUCUAGGGCUCCCAAGACAACCUGCCACUCUUGGGGGUGGUCGGAACAAACCUCUGCUUCUUCCCUGCAAAUCCUGGUUGCCUUGGGAAACUUGGGUCUGAUGUCCAGGAACACGUGUGAGACCCUAGGUCUUCCCUAUCUUGAUGAACUAAGGGAGGAAUCUAGGUGAAUGUAUCAAUGUGGAUUUUCCCUUUCUCCUAAAUCGGUGGUAGAUAGAGAGGCCCCAAAUCAUU
RNAcentral lists this long non-coding RNA (1041 nucleotides) under Homo sapiens (human). RNAcentral's name for it is "HSALNT0134098". The record is from RNAcentral. Lineage: Eukaryota; Metazoa; Chordata; Mammalia; Primates; Hominidae.